This 326-nucleotide ribosomal RNA is filed under the name Cora cyane. RNAcentral's name for it is "partial 12S ribosomal RNA". The record is from RNAcentral. Lineage: Eukaryota; Metazoa; Arthropoda; Insecta; Odonata; Polythoridae.
GUAUUAGUUAUUUUCUUGAAACCCAAAGGAUUUGGCGGUAUUUUAGUCUUUUCAGAGGAACCUGCUCUUUAACCGAUAGUCCACGUUUUCAUUUACUUAUUUUAUAUUAAUGGUUUGUAUACCUCCGUCAUAAGGAUGUCUUAUAAGGGUUAAUUUCCUAUUUUACUUUAUGUAAAAAUGUCAGGUCGAGGUGCAGCUUAUGAAUAAGGGAGUAGUGGGUUACAUUGAUUUUAUUUUUGGAUUUCCUUAAUUAGUUAAGGUCUGAAAUUGGAUUUGAGAGUAAAUUGGUAUAUUAUGUCUUUUGACUUUAGCUCUAAAAUAUGCAC